GACGAACGCUGGCGGCGUGCCUAAUACAUGCAAGUCGAACGAGAGCGACCGGUGCUUGCACUGGUCAAUCUAGUGGCGAACGGGUGAGUAACACGUGGGUAACCUGCCCAUCAGAGGGGGAUAACAUCCGGAAACGGAUGCUAAAACCGCAUAGGUCUUCGAGCCGCAUGGCUUGAAGAGGAAAAGAGGCGCAAGCUUCUGCUGAUGGAUGGACCCGCGGUGCAUUAGCUAGUUGGUGAGGUAACGGCUCACCAAGGCCGUGAUGCAUAGCCGACCUGAGAGGGUGAUCGGCCACAUUGGGACUGAGACACGGCCCAAACUCCUACGGGAGGCAGCAGUAGGGAAUCUUCCGCAACGGACGCAAGUCUGACGGAGCAACGCCGCGUGAGUGAAGAAGGUUUUCGGAUCGUAAAACUCUGUUGUUAGAGAAGAACAAGUGCUAGAGUAACUGUUAGCGCCUUGACGGUAUCUAACCAGAAAGCCACGGCUAACUACGUG
RNAcentral lists this ribosomal RNA (498 nucleotides) under uncultured bacterium. Its description in RNAcentral is "partial 16S ribosomal RNA". It matches the Rfam family "Bacterial small subunit ribosomal RNA", at positions 28 to 507 of the family's 1533-position model. The record is from RNAcentral.